Molecule: long non-coding RNA, 320 nt
Organism: Suricata suricatta (meerkat)
Lineage: Eukaryota; Metazoa; Chordata; Mammalia; Carnivora; Herpestidae
Exons: 2
Source: RefSeq, a predicted model, not a curated record
GACGCUCUUCAGAGGUGCAGACCGCCGCCUUCUCUGUGUCCUCCAGGGCGGGAGGGGCCGAGGGCGCUCUCCGCGGGCACUGACCCCUCAUGACCUCGUCACCUCCCAAAGGAUGCCAUAACCUCAGGGAGUGAGUUUUAACACAUGAAUUUGGGGGGACACAAACGUUCAGCCCACAGCAGGAUGAGAGCAAGGGCGUGAAGAGAUUGAAAUGAACUCAAGUACAAUAGAAAUCGUCUCCAGCCACCAGACUGCAAGCCUUGGCUUAGAUUUGGGCAUCUUUAUCUCUAAACCGGGAAUAAAAGCUCUUGCCUGUCUAA